CAAUAGCGUAUAUUAAAGUUGUUGCAGUUAAAAAGCUCGUAGUUGGAUUUGUGGCGGUUCCUGUGGUCCGAUUUCGGUACUUUCGGGGACUGCCAUCCUUGGGUGGAUCCUGUGUGGCAUUAGGUUGUCGUGCAGGGGAUGCCCAUCGUUUACUGUGAAAAAAUUAGAGUGUUCAAAGCAGGCUUAUGCCGUUGAAUAUAUUAGCAUGGAAUAAUGAGAUAGGACCUCGGUACUAUUUUGUUGGUUUGCGCACCGAGGUAAUGAUUAAUAGGGACAGUUGUGGGUAUUCGUAUUCCAUUGUCAGAGGUGAAAUUCUUGGAUUUCUGGAAGACGAACGAAUGCGAAAGCAUUUACCAAGGAUGUUUUCAUUAA
Molecule: ribosomal RNA, 372 nt
Filed under: uncultured eukaryote
Lineage: Eukaryota
Description: partial 18S ribosomal RNA
Rfam family: Eukaryotic small subunit ribosomal RNA
Source: RNAcentral